AUCAAUAUAGCUUUAUGAGAAAAGUUUUAGAUUUAGGAUCUAUAGAUGGUUAUUAUCCUGUUGAUG
Molecule: transfer RNA, 66 nt
Filed under: Eremobates cf. palpisetulosus SEM-2008
Lineage: Eukaryota; Metazoa; Arthropoda; Arachnida; Solifugae; Eremobatidae
Description: tRNA-Leu
Source: RNAcentral